GUUUUAGAGGUUCUACUGAAGGGAUUUGUAAUUGCUUAUACUUACAACAAGCAAUGCUGAACUAUGUCCCUUUACUUUAAAUAAAGUUGUUAUGGUGCACUCUUACCUCAAGGGGUUAAACCAUUCUCAAAUGGUUUAACCCCAAAAUGCCUCCAGGGAUUGUGUCCACUUUCCCUAGGCAGCAUUCGGCUUUAGCAAUUUUAGAUUUAGGAAUCACAGAGUGGCCCUGGAUGCAAUAUUGGGGUUAAACCAUUUGAGAAUGGUUUAACCCCAAUAACAACUUAAUUUAAUCUGAAUACGGAGAACAAGCAAAAAUUAGCUUGCACUUCAGUAAG
Non-coding RNA from Pelobates cultripes (western spadefoot toad), 335 nucleotides. Lineage: Eukaryota; Metazoa; Chordata; Amphibia; Anura; Pelobatidae. The record is from the annotation of a GenBank genome assembly.